GUACUUUUCCCCGUCGGAAGCACAAAUCCUCAUGGAGGCAUACGAGGAGGUAAAAGAUAUAAUUAAGAAGAAAGGCAACACCGCCACAGUGAUAAAGCAAAGAGAAAAAGCGUGGCAAAGUAUUGCAGACCGCCUGAAUGCAUUAAACAUGAACGGGCCAAAACGGACAUGGCAGCAGGUCAAAAUCAAAUACAAGAACAUUCUGCAGAAUGCAGUGAAAAAGAAUACCCACAGACAAGGCACGGGUGGUGGGUCACCAAAGGCUGACCUUACCCCAGCAGAGGACAUGGCCUUGGAGCUAAAUAAAGGCAGGCCCGUCUUAGAGGGGAUCCCUGGGGGGAAAGAGACGAGCAUAGGUUCCUCCCAAGAUGCCACCCGCUUCAUUCAAGCACUGUGUUCCUGUUAGAGCCACCAGCACAAGCACCAGACGAUGCUGAUCCAGGUGAAGGCCCCAGUGCAGCAGCAACAGCACAUGAUGGAGACGAUGAUGAGGAGGAGACCAUCUCUCUGGAUUCCAGAAGGCAUGAGGACCCAGAUGCUAUACAGUGGGAAAACCAGCCUGGCAACAUAAGCUCACAAGCUAUCAGAAAGUUGUAUGGCAACCACCUCCGGCGCCAAAUAGAACUGGCAGACAUAGACAUUCAGUACAAGAAGAAAAAGA
Oncorhynchus masou masou (cherry salmon) is the source of this 661-nucleotide long non-coding RNA. RefSeq lists it as uncharacterized. Lineage: Eukaryota; Metazoa; Chordata; Actinopteri; Salmoniformes; Salmonidae. The transcript is spliced from 7 exons. The record is from RefSeq and is a predicted model, not a curated record.